Molecule: long non-coding RNA, 587 nt
Organism: Magnolia sinica
Lineage: Eukaryota; Viridiplantae; Streptophyta; Magnoliopsida; Magnoliales; Magnoliaceae
Exons: 2
Source: RefSeq, a predicted model, not a curated record
UCCUUGAGCUGGUCGUGUUGGGGGUCUUACUAUAUAGGGGAUGGUUUUUGUAGAGCUGUUGUUUCUUAUAGUUCCUUUUCGUUCUCUCUUUUGUUGUAUUUUCUUUUCUUUUGGUAGUCUGUUUUCUCUCUCUAUCUCUCUCUCUCUCUCUCUCUAUCUCUCUUGUUUUGUUCAGGCUGGUGCUAAACAUGUUUAUGUGGUGGAGGCAUCUGAAAUGGCAGAAUAUGCACGCAGGCUUAUUGCUGGGAAUCCAUCAUUGAGAGAAUGGAUUACGGUGAUCAAAGGUAAAGUUGAGGAUGUUGAAUUGCCUGAGAAAGCAGGCAUUCUGAUUUCUGGGGCUAUAUGAUUCAGAAGGGUGUUGCAGGGAGCAUAGAUCCAUUGCCAAAAUAUUAGAUUUGAGGCAACAUGAUUGUGUUGAGAUUUCCAUCUUAUUUCCAUGGUUUCUCUGUUUGUGUUGAGAUUUCAAGUCUCUUGGACUAAGGGAAAAAACCCAUCUCUAUUUUUCUUCUUUCCUUUUCUUUUCUUUAUGUUUUUUCAUGUUUUAUGGAUUGGGAUUCCAAGUCUAUUUGACUGAGAAUUGAAGACUC